CGCUAAAAACAUAGCAUAGCAAGAGCUCUCCAAGCUAAGUAAAUAUUAAGAAUAUAAACAUAUCUGGACGUAUAUUAUCUGAGGAGAAAGAAGACAAUGAAGAAGACUUUAAGAUUUAGCCCCUCUUAAGUAGAAAGCAGCCUACGAGAGAUAGGGGAGGCAGGGCUGUGCUGGAUCCAGGCAUUCCUCGCUGAUCUGCCACAUUCGAGCUGAAACAUGAAAGAGAGAGUUUUGCCCGGAGAAAAAACAAAAUGGCUGAACUCAUCAAUACUCGCCUGCCUAUUCAGCAGCUAUACGCAGGGAAAGGAAACAGAAAUGACAAACUUCAUAAGGACACUUUAUUUUAAUGGCGGUCCAUGCAACAUUGUUGCAUUAGCUUUAUUUGUAUUGUAUUAUUCUUUUUUGUGGGGUUUAUGAUUAUGUUGUUUUUAUGUUCUGCCCCAAGGAGAAAACACACCAAAUGAAAAAGCCUUUCUGCAUGUCAAUGUCUGUACAAGUACAAAAAGCAGAUGCAAAGUAGACUCACAGAAUGAUGAGGGAUAAGCAAAGUUUUGAGCGUUUUAUAAAGAGUAUCUGUUUUUAUAUUUGACAGAGUCAUCUUGAUCAGGAUUUUUAAAUGCCACAAAAAAUCAAUCAUUCAACACUGAGCUUCAGCUUUACGCUAUCAACCAGUUUUAGUUACUGCAGCAAUAUGUUUUUCUUGAGUAAACCACAUAGCAUAACAGAUGCAUCAAGCU
Long non-coding RNA from Micropterus salmoides (largemouth bass), 737 nucleotides. RefSeq lists it as uncharacterized. The transcript is spliced from 3 exons. Lineage: Eukaryota; Metazoa; Chordata; Actinopteri; Centrarchiformes; Centrarchidae. The record is from RefSeq and is a predicted model, not a curated record.